GUCGGGAAUUUUGGGCAAUGGGCGAAAGCCUGACCCAGCAACGCCGCGUGAGGGAUGAAGGCCUUCGGGUCGUAAACCUCUGUCGGGAGGGACGAAAGGCGCGCGGGUGAACAAUCCGCGUACUUGACGGUACCUCCAAAGGAAGCGCCGGCUAACUCCGUGCCAGCAGCCGCGGUAAUACGGAGGGCGCAAGCGUUGUUCGGAAUUACUGGGCGUAAAGCGCGUGUAGGCGGCCAGGUAAGUCGGGUGUGAAAUCCCGGGGCCCAACCCCGGAACUGCACCCGAUACUGCCCGGCUGGAGUCCCGGAGAGGAUGGCGGAAUUUCCGGUGUAGAGGUGAAAUUCGUAGAUAUCGGAAGGAACACCAGUGGCGAAGGCGGCCAUCUGGACGGUGACUGACGCUGAGACGCGAAAGCGUGGGGAGCAAACAGGAUUAGAAACCCGUGUAGUCC
This 451-nucleotide ribosomal RNA is filed under the name uncultured bacterium. RNAcentral's name for it is "bacterial SSU rRNA". It matches the Rfam family "Bacterial small subunit ribosomal RNA", at positions 354 to 796 of the family's 1533-position model. The record is from RNAcentral.